UCCGUAGGUGAACCUGCGGAAGGGAUCAUUACCGACCCGCCGACACGAGUUGUUGCUGGUCUCCAAACGGGGGCACGUGCACGCUCUGUUUGUGCAUCCACUCACACCUGUGCACCUUCUGUGGUUCUGUGGCCUGGGGGACUCGUCCUCCUGCUGCGGUUCUGCGUCUUUACGAUCACGCCGUGAUAAAGUCUAAUGGAAUGCAUGCCGCGUUUAACGCAAUACAAUACAACUUUCAGCAACGGAUCUCUUGGCUCUCGCAUCGAUGAAGAACGCAGCGAAAUGCGAUAAGUAAUGUGAAUUGCAGAAUUCAGUGAAUCAUCGAAUCUUUGAACGCACCUUGCGCCCUUUGGCUAUUCCGAAGGGCAUGCCUGUUUGAGUAUCAUGAACAUCUCAACUCCUCACGGUUCGCCCGUGAUGAGCUGGGACUUUGGGGGUCUUGCCGGCCUGCGGGUCGGCUCCUCUCAAAUGAAUCAGCUUGCCGGUGUUUGGUGGCGUCACGGGUGUGAUAACUAUCUACGCUUGUGGCUUUCCGCCAGGUAACCUCCAGCCAUGGGGGUCACUGGAGCUCACAAACGUCUCUCCUCGGUGAGGACAGCUCUUUGAACGUUUGAUCUCAAAUCAGGUAGGACUACCCGCUGAACUUAAGCAUAUCAAUAAGCGGAGGA
Molecule: ribosomal RNA, 668 nt
Filed under: uncultured Tomentella/Thelophora
Lineage: Eukaryota; Fungi; Basidiomycota; Agaricomycetes; Thelephorales; Thelephoraceae
Description: eukaryotic LSU rRNA
Rfam family: 5.8S ribosomal RNA (bases 231-385)
Source: RNAcentral